UGGGGGAUAUUGCACAAUGGGCGAAAGCCUGAUGCAGCGACGCCGCGUGGGGGAUGAAGGCCUUCGGGUUGUAAACUUCUUUUGCUCUGAACAAGGCAUGCCUUUGGGGUGUGUUGAGUGUAGGGGUUGAUUAGCGCCGGCUAACUACGUGCCAGCAGCCGCGGUAAUACGUAGGGCGCGAGCGUUGUCCGGAAUUAUUGGGCGUAAAGGGCUUGUAGGUGGCUGGUUGCGUCUGUCGUGAAAGCUCAUGGCUUAACUGUGGGUUUGCGGUGGGUACGGGCUGGCUUGAGUGCAGUAGGGGAGUCUGGAAUUCCUGGUGUAGCGGUGGAAUGCGCAGAUAUCAGGAGGAAUACCGGUGGCGAAGGCGGGUCUCUGGGCUGUUACUGACGCUGAGGAGCGAAAGCGUGGGGAGCGAACAGG
RNAcentral lists this ribosomal RNA (420 nucleotides) under Fusobacteriota bacterium. Its description in RNAcentral is "Fusobacteria bacterium partial 16S ribosomal RNA". It matches the Rfam family "Bacterial small subunit ribosomal RNA", at positions 355 to 776 of the family's 1533-position model. The record is from RNAcentral. Lineage: Bacteria; Fusobacteriati; Fusobacteriota.